UGAAGAGUUUGAUCAUGGCUCAGAUUGAACGCUGGCGGCAGGCCUAACACAUGCAAGUCGAACGGUAACAGGAAGCAGCUUGCUGCUUCGCUGACGAGUGGCGGACGGGUGAGUAAUGUCUGGGAAACUGCCUGAUGGAGGGGGAUAACUACUGGAAACGGUGGCUAAUACCGCAUAACGUCGCAAGACCAAAGAGGGGGACCUUCGGGCCUCUUGCCAUCAGAUGUGCCCAGAUGGGAUUAGCUAGUUGGUGAGGUAACGGCUCACCAAGGCGACGAUCCCUAGCUGGUCUGAGAGGAUGACCAGCCACACUGGAACUGAGACACGGUCCAGACUCCUACGGGAGGCAGCAGUGGGGAAUAUUGCACAAUGGGCGCAAGCCUGAUGCAGCCAUGCCGCGUGUAUGAAGAAGGCCUUCGGGUUGUAAAGUACUUUCAGC
RNAcentral lists this ribosomal RNA (439 nucleotides) under Salmonella enterica subsp. enterica. Its description in RNAcentral is "bacterial SSU rRNA". It matches the Rfam family "Bacterial small subunit ribosomal RNA", at positions 1 to 440 of the family's 1533-position model. The record is from RNAcentral. RNAcentral also lists the same sequence under 1 other name. Lineage: Bacteria; Pseudomonadati; Pseudomonadota; Gammaproteobacteria; Enterobacterales; Enterobacteriaceae.